Molecule: ribosomal RNA, 253 nt
Filed under: uncultured bacterium
Lineage: Bacteria
Description: partial 16S ribosomal RNA
Rfam family: Bacterial small subunit ribosomal RNA
Source: RNAcentral
GACAGAGGGUGCAAACGUUGCUCGGAAUCACUGGGCGUAAAGGGCGCGUAGGCGGACAAGUAAGUCGGGCGUGAAAUCCCUAGGCUCAACCUAGGAACUGCACUCGAAACUGCAUGUCUUGAGUACCGGAGAGGAAAGCGGAAUACCUGGUGUAGAGGUGAAAUUCGUAGAUAUCAGGAGGAACACCCGUGGUGUAGACGGCUUGCUGGACGGUCACUGACGCUGAGGCACGAAAGCGUGGGGAGCGAACAGG